AUGGACAGCAGCCACGCGGCAGGAGCUCGCCACCGAAGACCCCCGAGCAUCGUCCGCCCCAAAUCUGGCCGGGAACCGAACGAGGCCGAGCCCUCGCACCCAGAUCCGCGCGUGGAUCAGCGCCACAACUACCACCACCAAAGAUCCAGCAGAGAUCUGCAGCCCCAUGACCUCUACCUCCCAACCCCCGCCUACCCGCCACCCUAG
Molecule: ribosomal RNA, 207 nt
Filed under: Triticum aestivum (bread wheat)
Lineage: Eukaryota; Viridiplantae; Streptophyta; Magnoliopsida; Poales; Poaceae
Description: partial small subunit ribosomal RNA
Source: RNAcentral